UACGGAGGAUGCGAGCGUUAUCCGGAUUUAUUGGGUUUAAAGGGUGCGUAGGCGGACGCUUAAGUCAGCGGUAAAAUUGCGGGGCUCAACCCCGUCGUGCCGUUGAAACUGAUGUUCUUGAGUGGGCGAGAAGUAUGCGGAAUGCGUGGUGUAGCGGUGAAAUGCAUAGAUAUCACGCAGAACUCCGAUUGCGAAGGCAGCAUGCCGGCUUCCGACUGACGCUGAAGCACGAAAGCGUGGGGAUCGAACAGG
RNAcentral lists this ribosomal RNA (252 nucleotides) under uncultured Bacteroidales bacterium. Its description in RNAcentral is "partial 16S ribosomal RNA". It matches the Rfam family "Bacterial small subunit ribosomal RNA", at positions 524 to 776 of the family's 1533-position model. The record is from RNAcentral. Lineage: Bacteria; Pseudomonadati; Bacteroidota; Bacteroidia; Bacteroidales.